UAGGGAAUAUUGGUCAAUGGACGCAAGUCUGAACCAGCCAUGCCGCGUGCAGGAAGACGGCCCUCUGGGUUGUAAACUGCUUUUAUAUGGGAAGAAACCUUAGGAUGCGUUCUAAGCUGACGGUACCAUAUGAAUAAGGAUCGGCUAACUUCGUGCCAGCAGCCGCGGUAAGACGAAGGAUCCAAGCGUUGUCCGGAUUUACUGGGUUUAAAGGGUGCGUAGGCGGAAAAUUAAGUCAGUGGUGAAAGCCCGCAGCUCAACUGCGGAACUGCCAUUGAAACUGAUUUUCUUGAAUACGGUUGAGGUAGAUGGAAUAUAACAUGUAGCGGUGAAAUGCUUAGAUAUGUUAUAGAACACCAAUUGCGAAGGCAGUCUACUAAGCCGUGAUUGACGCUGAGGC
Molecule: ribosomal RNA, 400 nt
Filed under: uncultured bacterium
Lineage: Bacteria
Description: bacterial SSU rRNA
Rfam family: Bacterial small subunit ribosomal RNA
Source: RNAcentral